This 343-nucleotide unclassified non-coding RNA is filed under the name soil metagenome. Its description in RNAcentral is "partial contains 5.8S ribosomal RNA, internal transcribed spacer 2, and large subunit ribosomal RNA". The stretch from base 3 to 120 matches the Rfam family "5.8S ribosomal RNA", at positions 37 to 154 of the family's 154-position model. The record is from RNAcentral.
GCUGAAGAACGCAGCGAAAUGCGAUAAGUAAUGUGAAUUGCAGAAUUCAGUGAAUCAUCGAAUCUUUGAACGCACAUUGCGCCCGCUAGUAUUCUGGCGGGCAUGCCUGUCCGAGCGUCAUUUCAACCCUCAUGCCCCCGGGCUUGGUGUUGGGGAUCGGCGAGCCUCCGCGCCCGCCGUCCCCUAAAUCUAGUGGCGGUCUCGCUGUAGCUUCCUCUGCGUAGUAGCACACCUCGCACUGGGAAACAGCGCGGCCACGCCGUUAAACCCCCAACUUCUGAACGUUUGACCUCGGAUCAGGUAGGAAUACCCGCUGAACUUAAGCAUAUCAAUAAGCGGAGGA